CAGUAGCCACGGUAACACGGAGGGGGCUAGCGUUGUUCGGAAUUACUGGGCGUAAAGCGCACGUAGGCGGCUUUGUAAGUUAGAGGUGAAAGCCUGGAGCUCAACUCCAGAAUUGCCUUUAAGACUGCAUCGCUUGAAUCGCGGAGAGGUGAGUGGAAUUCCGAGUGUAGAGGUGAAAUUCGUAGAUAUUCGGAAGAACACCAGUGGCGAAGGCGGCUCACUGGACGCGUAUUGACGCUGAGGUGCGAAAGCGUGGGGAGCAAACGGGAUUAGAUACCCCCGUAGUCCCUGUCUCUUAUAC
RNAcentral lists this ribosomal RNA (301 nucleotides) under uncultured bacterium. RNAcentral's name for it is "partial 16S ribosomal RNA". It matches the Rfam family "Bacterial small subunit ribosomal RNA", at positions 509 to 807 of the family's 1533-position model. The record is from RNAcentral.